ACUAACAAGGAUUCCCCUAGUAACUGCGAGUGAAGCGGGAAAAGCUCAAAUUUAAAAUCUGAGGGUCUUUAUGGCCUUCCGAGUUGUAAUCUAGAGAAGUGCUAUCCGCGCUGGACCGUGUACAAGUCUCCUGGAACGGAGCGUCAUAGAGGGUGAGAAUCCCGUCUUUGACACGGACUCCCAGGGCUUAUGUGAUGUGCUCUCAAAGAGUCGAGUUGUUUGGGAAUGCAGCUCUAAAUGGGUGGUAAAUUCCAUCUAAAGCUAAAUAUUGGCGAGAGACCGAUAGCGAACAAGUACCGUGAGGGAAAGAUGAAAAGAACUUUGGAAAGAGAGUUAAACAGUACGUGAAAUUGUUGAAAGGGAAACGCUUGAAGUCAGUCGCAUUGGCCAGGGAUCAACCUUGCUUUUGCUUGGUGUAUUUUCUGGUUAAUGGGUCAGCAUCAAUUUUGAUCGGUGGAAAAAGGUCAAGGGAAUGUGGCAUCUUCGGAUGUGUUAUAGCCCUUGGUUGCAUACAUCGGUUGGGAUUGAGGAACUCAGCACGCCGCAAGGCCGGGUUUUUAACCACGUACGUGCUUAGGAUGCUGGCAUAAUGGCUUUAAUCGACCCGUCUUGAAACACGGACCAAGGAGUCUAACAUGCACGCGAGUGUUUGGGUGGAAAACCCGAGCGCGUAAUGAAAGUGAAAAUUGAGAUCCCUGUCGUAGGGAGCAUCGAUGCCCGGACCAGACCUUUUGUGACGGAUCCGCGGUUGAGCGUGUAUGCUGGGACCCGAAAGAUGGUGAACUAUGCCUGAAUAGGGUGAAGCCAGAGGAAACUCUGGUGGAGGCUCGUAGCGAUUCUGACGUGCAAAUCGAUCGUCAAAUUUGGGUAUAGGGGCGAAAG
Molecule: ribosomal RNA, 882 nt
Filed under: Tricholoma scalpturatum
Lineage: Eukaryota; Fungi; Basidiomycota; Agaricomycetes; Agaricales; Tricholomataceae
Description: eukaryotic LSU rRNA
Rfam family: Eukaryotic large subunit ribosomal RNA
Source: RNAcentral